GAUGCUUCAAGAGCAAAUUACUCUUGAUGAGUCAUUUUACAAACUGCAUUGCUCCCACCUUCGUGCUCCUGUCACCGGAACAUCAUUCACAGACACAGUUACUGACGGUGGGGGUGGGGUGAGAUGACCCCAGGCUCAUCCUGGGCCAGAAACUCUGAGGAGGAAAAAACUGGAAAAAUCUGGACCCAGUGAAUGGCCCCAGGCUAUUUUACAGGGGUGAGGCGGUAGAUUCAGGACCGCUCCGUUCUUGCAUCCAACAGGGGCGCAGACAAGUUUAGACCCAAGGAUCUUUGCCGUGACACGUGUACCACCACCACCACCACCGGGAGGUGUGAGCCCACCCGUGGGGGAGAAGGUGGAGUGUGGGUCCCUCCCGCGGGAUGCGAGGCAGCGGCUUUUUAGGGACAGAGAACCCUGAAGUCAUGUAGUGGUGGCUUGGCUUGCUUUUGAACUUGAAGUGUGUGCCCUCUAAUUAGGACUCUUCUGUGGUAUUUGCCCGUCAACGUGGUGUUGCAGAGACUGAUCGGGACCAGCGCACAGAGCGGAGCUCCGCUGUCUGAACGCGCCCGCGGGGUCUGCGCUCUCACCGGGGGCGCCGGGACUCCCCGUCUGCUGCCACGAUGGACAAUUCUGCUCUACUCCUGCCCGGGUCUGGACGGCACACACCUUGGGCUGGGACUUCUGGGCAGUAGGAGGCCUGUGUCCAGCUACACUCGGACAUGCUGCGCCAUUUUCUAGACCGGUUUUAUCACUGUGCCCUCCCGCCGACCCCAGCGCUACAGUCGGCCAUCGUGCUCCAACCCUCUGCCAUAUGAUACUGUCUAACUUUUGAACAUUUCCCAACACAGCGGCAGGAAGUGGGAUCUCUUGCUGCUUUUAAUUUGCAUUGCUCUCAGUAUUCACAACGCUGAGCAUCUUUCUGCAUGCGUGUGGGCCAUUUAUGCCCUGUCUAGUUCCCCCCGCCACUUUGUAGCAAAGGCCAGCAAUCCUUUUCUCUAAAGAGCCAGAUUGCCCAUUUUUGUGGAUCUGUGGGCUGCCGUUGUAGUCCCAAGGAAGCCAUAAACAAUAUGUAGAUGAAUGGGUGUGGCUGU
Suricata suricatta (meerkat) is the source of this 1091-nucleotide long non-coding RNA. RefSeq lists it as uncharacterized. The transcript is spliced from 3 exons. NCBI's taxonomy places the organism in Eukaryota, Metazoa, Chordata, Mammalia, Carnivora, Herpestidae. The record is from RefSeq and is a predicted model, not a curated record.